GAAAUAUGAUAAAUUCAAGAAUAAGCUUCUAACUUAAUUCUUAGGCGAUGAAAUUUCGUUUAUAUUUCU
This 69-nucleotide transfer RNA is filed under the name Bruchidius siliquastri. RNAcentral describes it as "tRNA-Ser". The record is from RNAcentral. Lineage: Eukaryota; Metazoa; Arthropoda; Insecta; Coleoptera; Chrysomelidae.